UUAUGAAUCUAGUCCCCAGAAAGUAUUCAAAAAAGGCAGCUAGUAUUUCACUUCUGUAUAAGAAUAUUUUAAUUCUGAUUCUGUAAAAUGAUUUUAAGUAUUCUUGAAGGGACAGAGGAAGAGAGAGAAAUUUGAAAUUCUUUCCUCUUCUGAUUUUCAGUGAGCCAUGUAUAUAUUCUUUUUUUUUUUUUUAAUCUUAUUAAAUCCACACAAAUAGAGAAAGUCCAGCAUAAACCUGAGUAAGAAGAAAGGAUUCAGAUACUGGAUCAACCUAAAUUCAUUCAGGAAGAUAUAACUAGCCACCGUAAAAUUGUUGGUGCUAUUUAGGUAUUUAAAAAUUAAACAAGCCAUUUUUAAAAGUCACUAAAAUGGCACCUAGAACAUAGUAUAUACCCAAUCAAUGUUAGCUCGAUGUGAUUAUUUCAAAAUAUACUUUUUAUAAAAUGAAUCUUUAAAAUGCAAAUGUAAUUCUGUUUAGGGGAACAAAUACCCAACUAUAAACAAUGAGAUAACUGAUCUGUUUUCUUUUCAAAAAGAAAGGGAGUAUUAUCAUGCUUUUAUAGUUAUUUGCUUUUAAUGUGUACUUAUUCGAAGAAGAAUUUGAAUGUUGCAGUACAUUUACAGAGAUACAUAAAUAAGUACAAGACAUAGAAUGAUACUCAAAUGACAAAGUCUGUCAAAUAAAAAAAAAAAAAAUCAAAGUUUUUUUAACCCCUGAAAAGAGACAGAGUAGCAGAGUGUGGUUUCAGUGUGUCCCAGGAUCAUGCUGCCUCGGGUUUGCCUGUUGGCUCUGCUUCUCACAGAGGUCACUCCCUGUACCUUAGUUUUGUGAUCUGUAAAAUGUGGAAAAAAAAAAAAAAAGCCUGCUUCUUUAUUCAUAGGUUUGUUAUGAGUUCUUAUUUGUAAAACAUUUAAGCAGCAACCAGUACAUAAUAAAUGCUAUGUUAGUAACUAUUAAAUAAAAGAAAUACACUUACCUCUGUAUUGUAUUUCCUUCAAUAGGAAACAAAAGAAUUUUUUUCCCCAUGAUACAAACCUGUCCCUUCAUACCCAAAGUGCAAAAAUCAUCAUUUAAUUUGUCAUUUUAAGACAUAACAAAUUACCAUUUAGGAUUCUCUUUUAAUCUUCAUGAAAAUUUUAUGAGGCAGGUACUCUUAUCUGCAUUUUAUAGAUGAAGAAGGAGUGACUGAUGAGUAAGAUAUUUUGUUAUAGACAUUGCCUUGCAAUCAUGGUCAAGCAUGGUAUCAUCUUUUGCCCUGAGGCCACAUUAUCAUAAGCACAGGUGGAUUUCUACCUCCAGAUUUAGAAGCCCUGAGGGUGAAGUUCCUGAAAGGGGGCUUCACUUCCAAAGUUGUCAGUUCACCUGUGUCUCCUAUAAUGGCAGCUAGGACUUUACCCCACUACUUGAAAUGGAUGUGGUGGCCACACAGAAUCUGAUUCAAUGUUCUUGUUUCCCUAGAAGCUCAAACUACAAUUUCCACAUUAUAUUCCUAUAGUAGGUAUGAAAAGGCAAUUUAGAUGUUAAAUAUGUAUAUUAAAUUAAUAAAAGGCACAUAUAUGUCAAUUUUUUGCCAGUAACAGUCAAAGGAAAUAAAAAUGAAAGAUACCUUCUGUUUCCUAGGAUCUUUUUCAAUUACUUGUAAGGGCUUGAAUUUGAUUCUUUUUUAUUUUAAGCUUGAGAAAAGGUUUGAAGUUUUCUUUUUUUCAUUAUUGUGUACUAAAUUUUUGUCACAUAUCUUAACCUUCCCUCUUCAAAGAGAAUGCUUUUUUCAGAAAGGAUGUGAUUUUCAUUUUGAGUAGCUAAUUUAUUUAUCAGUAUUACCUGUAGAUGACUUGCAACAGAGAUAAGCUUCACAUAGAAGGAAGCAGACCCUUCUGUUCCCAAGGUGAUUCAUAUUUAUUGAGGCUAACCCAUUUCUAUCUAUAUUCACUGUUCUCAAAUCUGAAACCCAGCAAAAGAAGACAUCCUGUUAUUUUCUUUUCACUUCCUCUUCUUGUUUUUUUAAAGAUUAGUAGAAACAUUUCAGCUUCUUUGUCAGAAACAAAAAUAAGUAUAAAUACUAACAAUAUGUGUUUCUUAUUAAAGCAAGUUAACAGUACAGGAGAAUCAAAUACAUAUUCUACACAUAGAAUUCAGGUUUCAGAACAAUUUAAUUCAGUUAUUCUAAAGCUAAUAAUUCAAAAUAUAGUUUGAUAUUUACUAUAUAGCAUGCAAUAUAAUAUAAAUAAAAAUCAUUUAUAAAAAUUAAGUACAUAAUAAUGACUGUGAAUUAGCUUCAAAACAGUUGCAUAUUAUAAGUAUUAUUAAAUUCAUUUUCAGGCAGUGGCCAUUAAAUACAUAUAGUAUUAUUGGAUGACUGCAAUGCUUAUGAAGAAUAAAAUUUGGGAGUAAAUAUUAUAUAUUUAAACAAAUUUAACAUCUAUUUAAACAAAUUUAUAUGUUGUAAAUGAAAAGUUCUCCUUCUUGAGAUUUAUAGAAUUUAUCUGUAAUCUACUCUUAAAGAAGUUCUAUCUAUAUAUUACUUUUAAUGCAGUUUAUCUUUUGCUGUGAACCUAGGUAAACCUUUUUUAUUAACUUUUAAUUAUGCAAUAAUUUUAAACAAAUAUAUCUAUAUCACAUAAAUUUUUAAAGGAACCUCUUUAAAUAUCUUCAUUAUUUGAAAAAUUGAUUUUAUCAUCUUUUCAUCCAAUUCAAUGGGAGUUCCAAAUGAAUAUUUGCUAAGAAUAUACAGCAUAAUUCAUAAGGUUCUAAAACUGGAAAAUUACAAGGAAAGAUUCCUGAAUUAUUAUAUGGUAAUUAUGAUAAUGAAUCACUUCCAAUAAUGUAGGAUUCAAUAACGUCCUAGUCAGCUCUUCAGUACUGUUUCAGGGUAAAAGUUGAUCACAAAUGCAACUAGAUUCUAUAUCUCUACAUCGACAGGAAGCUUUCUUGCAAAUUUAAUCUAUUACUCAGAUCACUACAAUUAUAAACAAUAGGACAGUUCUAUUAGAGGGUAUAUAUGGACUCAUUUUAAACCUAAUAUGACAUUUUGUAUACAACAUAGAAUGUUAAUUAUUAGCCCCUAAAUUAUCAAGCCUGUCACAGCCUAUUUAUCUUAGAAAAUGGUAUCAGUAUUUCCCCUUUUCCUUAGGGCAAAACUAUAGAUUAUCCUUGAUUUCUCUCACCUUCUGAAAUUAUUAGUUUGAUUACCUAUUUUCUGUUUCUGCUUGAGAAUAUAAGUGCCACCAGAACAGGGAAGUGUCUGUCUUAUUCACAGUAAUAGCCUUAACAUCCAAACUGAUCCCUGGAACAUAGUAAACAGUCUAUAAGUACUUGAUGAACAAAUUAAUUAAUUGGUCAAGGCUAUGUACUAUCCUCAGUGACUCUCAAGAAAGCUGGAGUCUUGAGCUCAAACCUUUGAAUUCUUCCUGGCAUGUCUCUUUUUCCUCUACAAGUAAGAGGUAAUCUAGGACAAAGAUGUUUUAAGAGGACAGAAGAGGAAAGGACGUUCUGAUUCUUUACCUAAAAUUGAAAAAAAGUUUAUGUUAAAGCUCUUUGUUAUACAGAUAAAAUCACCCUAACUUAAAAAAAAAUUAAAUAUGGUUUAAACACCACUAAAAUAUCUUGGUGUUCAAAUUCAUGCCAUCUAACCUAGUUUUCCUGACUUAAAGGCUACCAGUAGUUCACGCUUGCCCACUUCAAUCUGAUAAUUAGCUUAUUAUGUCCAUAAUAAUCCAGUUACACAGAAAAAGAAUCUCCUUAGCAAAAUAAAGGACGUCUUUUUUUUAAUAAAGGACAUUUUGUAAUCAUUUUCUGCAAAGCCAACCCCAGUUUGACAAUAAGUUUUAUUGCCUUUGAAUACCUUCUCUCGUAAUAAAGCUGAAUGGAUUUUCCAUUAUUGCAAAGUACUCACAAAGUACCAGCAGGGUAAAAUGGUGAUUAUAAAGAGAGAAUAAAUAAUCAGUGACUCAAUGUCCCCAUUUAAGUUAAGUGAAACAAUUAUGUUUCCCUGCCUCCCUCCCAAGGCCAGCGAAAGAUCUAUUUGAUAUAUUUGGAAUUUCUUGUAGGUAACAACAACAACAAAACACUCCUCUGAUUAUCUGAGAUGUCCAAUUCAUUUCAUUAAGCACCUCCUGUUGAAAAGAAUGUUUUUGGCAAUUUACUUUACCUUCAUAAAUUGCCAGGUUUGAGACUUGGAGAAUUCUGUUCAGAAACGUGUUCGAUUGACACAAAACCUUCAUCUUUAUGUGCUCAUCCUGCGUCAGAACAGUGCACUUUCCAGGGGUAUUUGAAACUUGGCUUGUUCUUUACUUGUGCUAGACAUUUUGAAAUUGGCAAGGGCAUUGGAUUGUUACUUAGAUUUUUUUUUUCCCCUUCACUGCCCAUAAACAAUAAAUUUGCCACAACAUUUCAUUCUCAAGAAAAUGACCCAACAGUGUAUCCUUAGCCCCAAUGUUGCUGCUGCCUUAAUAACAUUAUCACCAAAAUAAUUUCCUAGCUCUUCUAUAAAUACAAAAGAGUAAAUCCUCUUUUCAUCUCCUGAAAGUCUGUAUUGCUUAGUAAAGUUGUCGGCUGUUGUCUUGAAAAAUAACUGAUUUGAGCCUCCAUUUGUACAUUUUAGAAAGGAGCAUGUCCACGCUCUACCCCAAAUAUUCUUUGACAUGUUAAUAGUCACAUUUUUGAAGCCUGUGUGAUUCACAGAGAAGAUCUCAAGAUAAAUCUCUUCGUAUUUAUAUCUGCCAAGAAGAUAAUUCAGUUUAUAAGAUCUUGUCAUGGAAACAGGGUAAAUCCAGCUUCAAACAGAGGAUAAGGUUUGCUUCACUACAGGGAUUCAGAAGCUGCUACUUCCACAUUUACACAAAAUAAACUACAGGGCAAGUCAGAACAGCAAUCCAAGUAGUGACCUCUCUCUGAGCCCCCAUAAACCAGAUAAUUCACCUCUGCCCUAAGCAGGCUACUGUCUUUGGAGAUCAUGAUGCUGACUGCAUGCAGAUCUUAGAAAAUCUGCUCAUAGCUGUGACUCUCCUCUCAGGAGAGAGAAAUGCACAGUGGAAAUAUAAACAAACCCAUCCUGGUUUGGGUUUAUAGAACUUGCUUUAUAGAACUUUCUGCUCAAGUGACAGUUUUUAAAUGUUGGUACUCAAAUCAAAGUUUCCUGGCUAGAGACUGAGAGCUGAUACUCUCAUAUCUAGGUCUUGAAGGUAUUAUGGUGGUUUGUCUGUUUGUUUGCUUGCUCCUAAUGAGUUGAAAACUUACUUACAGAGUUCCUGUCGUGGCACAGUGGAAACGAAUCCAAAUAGGAACCUUGAGGUUUCAGGUUCAAUCCCUAGCCUCACUCGGUGGGUUAAGGAUCUGGCCUUGCUAUGAGCUGUGGUAUAGGUCGAAUACUCACCUGGGAUCUGGUGUUGCUGUGGCUGUGGCAUAGGCCAGCAGCUGUAGCUCCAAUUAGACCCCUAGCCUGGGAAUCUCCAUAUGCCCCGAGGGUAUGGCCCU
Molecule: long non-coding RNA, 5473 nt
Filed under: Sus scrofa (pig)
Lineage: Eukaryota; Metazoa; Chordata; Mammalia; Artiodactyla; Suidae
Description: lncRNA (ENSSSCG00000054997.1)
Source: RNAcentral